RNAcentral lists this ribosomal RNA (467 nucleotides) under uncultured bacterium. Its description in RNAcentral is "partial 16S ribosomal RNA". It matches the Rfam family "Bacterial small subunit ribosomal RNA", at positions 28 to 506 of the family's 1533-position model. The record is from RNAcentral.
GACGAACGCUGGCGGCGUGCUUAACACAUGCAAGUCGAACGGAAAGGCCCUGCUUUUGUGGGGUGCUCGAGUGGCGAACGGGUGAGUAACACGUGAGUAACCUGCCCUUGACUUUGGGAUAACUUCAGGAAACUGGGGCUAAUACCGGAUAGGAGCUCCUGCUGCAUGGUGGGGGUUGGAAAGUUUCGGCGGUUGGGGAUGGACUCGCGGCUUAUCAGCUUGUUGGUGGGGUAGUGGCUUACCAAGGCUUUGACGGGUAGCCGGCCUGAGAGGGUGACCGGCCACAGUGGGACUGGGAUGCGGCCCGGACGCCUACGGGAGGCAGGAGUGGGGAAUAGUGCACAAUGGGCGGAAGCCUGAUGCAGCAACGCCGCGUGCGGGAUGACGGCCUUCGGGUUGUAAACCGCUUUCGCCUGUGACGAAGCGUGAGUGACGGUAAUGGGUAAAGAAGCACCGGCUAACUACGU